GACAGAGGUGCCGAGCGUUAGGCGGAAUCACUGGGCUUAAAGCGUGUGUAGGCGGGUCGUUAAGUGUCUUGUGAAAUCCCACCCGCUCAACGGUGGAACCGCUGGGCAUACUGGCGAUCUUGAGCAGUCCAGGGGCGAGCGGAACAAGCGGUGGAGCGGUGAAAUGCGUAGAUAUCGCUUGGAACGCCGACGGUGAAAACAGCUCGCUGGGGACUCGCUGACGCUGAGACACGAAAGCCAGGGGAGCGAACGGG
This 254-nucleotide ribosomal RNA is filed under the name uncultured bacterium. RNAcentral's name for it is "partial 16S ribosomal RNA". It matches the Rfam family "Bacterial small subunit ribosomal RNA", at positions 524 to 776 of the family's 1533-position model. The record is from RNAcentral.